This 1346-nucleotide ribosomal RNA is filed under the name Halomonas sp. RNAcentral describes it as "bacterial SSU rRNA". It matches the Rfam family "Bacterial small subunit ribosomal RNA", at positions 69 to 1411 of the family's 1533-position model. The record is from RNAcentral. Lineage: Bacteria; Pseudomonadati; Pseudomonadota; Gammaproteobacteria; Oceanospirillales; Halomonadaceae.
CGAUCCUAGCUUGGUAGGAGGCGUCGAGCGGCGGACGGGUGAGUAAUGCAUAGGAAUCUGCCCGGUAGUGGGGGAUAACUUGAGGAAACUCAAGCUAAUACCGCAUACGCCCUACGGGGGAAAGCAGGGGCUCUUCGGACCUUGCGCUAUCGGAUGAGCUUAUGUCGGAUUAGCUGGUUGGUGAGGUAACGGCUCACCAAGGCGACGAUCCGUAGCUGGUCUGAGAGGAUGAUCAGCCACAUCGGGACUGAGACACGGCCCGAACUCCUACGGGAGGCAGCAGUGGGGAAUAUUGGACAAUGGGGGCAACCCUGAUCCAGCCAUGCCGGGGGGUGGAAGAAGGCCCUCGGGUUGUAAAGCACUUUCAGCGAGGAAGAACGCCUGUCGGUUAAUACCCGGCAGGGGAGACAUCACUCGCAGAAGAAGCACCGGCUAAUUCCGUGCCAGCAGCCGCGGUAAUACGGAGGGUGCGAGCGUUAAUCGGAAUUACUGGGCGUAAAGCGUGCGUAGGCGGCUUGAUAAGCCGGUUGUGAAAGCCCCGGGCUCAACCUGGGAACGGCAUCCGGAACUGUCAGGCUAGAGUGCAGGAGAGGAAGGUAGAAUUCCCGGUGUAGCGGUGAAAUGCGUAGAGAUCGGGAGGAAUACCAGUGGCGAAGGCGGCCUUCUGGACUGACACUGACGCUGAGGUACGAAAGCGUGGGUAGCAAACAGGAUUAGAUACCCUGGUAGUCCACGCCGUAAACGAUGUCGACUAGCCGUUGGGGUCCUCGAGACCUUUGUGGCGCAGUUAACGCACUAAGUCGACCGCCUGGGGAGUACGGCCGCAAGGUUAAAACUCAAAUGAAUUGACGGGGGCCCGCACAAGCGGUGGAGCAUGUGGUUUAAUUCGAUGCAACGCGAAGAACCUUACCUACCCUUGACAUCGUGCGAACUUGGUAGAGAUACCUUGGUGCCUUCGGGAGCGCACAGACAGGUGCUGCAUGGCUGUCGUCAGCUCGUGUUGUGAAAUGUUGGGUUAAGUCCCGUAACGAGCGCAACCCUUGUCCCUAUUUGCCAGCGAUUCGGUCGGGAACUCUAGGGAGACUGCCGGUGACAAACCGGAGGAAGGUGGGGACGACGUCAAGUCAUCAUGGCCCUUACGGGUAGGGCUACACACGUGCUACAAUGGCCGGUACAAUGGGUUGCAAAGCGGCGACGUGGAGCUAAUCUCAUAAAGCCGGUCUCAGUCCGGAUCGGAGUCUGCAACUCGACUCCGUGAAGUCGGAAUCGCUAGUAAUCGUGCAUCAGAAUGGCACGGUGAAUACGUUCCCGGGCCUUGUACACACCGCCCGUCACACCAUGGGAGU